GACGAACGCUGGCGGCGUGCUUAACACAUGCCAGUCGAACGGAAAGGCCCUGCUUUUGUGGGGUGCUCGAGUGGCGAACGGGUGAGUAACACGUGAGUAACCUGCCCUUGUCUUUGGGAUAACUUCAGGAAACUGGGGCUAAUACCGGAUAGGAGCUCCUGCUGCAUGGUGGGGGUUGGAAAGUUUCGGCGGUUGGGGCUGGACUCGCGGCUUAUCAGCUUGUUGGUGGGGUAGUGGCUUACCAAGGCUUUGACGGGUAGCCGGCCUGAGAGGGUGACCGGCCACAUUGGGACUGAGAGACGGCCCAGACUCCUACGGGAGGCAGCAGUGGGGAAUAUUGCACAAUGGGCGGAAGCCUGAUGCAGCAACGCCGCGUGCGGGAUGACGGCCUUCGGGUUGUAAACCGCUUUCGCCUGUGACGAAGCGUGAGUGACGGUAAUGGGUAAAGAAGCACCGGCUAACUACGUG
RNAcentral lists this ribosomal RNA (468 nucleotides) under uncultured bacterium. Its description in RNAcentral is "partial 16S ribosomal RNA". It matches the Rfam family "Bacterial small subunit ribosomal RNA", at positions 28 to 507 of the family's 1533-position model. The record is from RNAcentral.